GUCCCCUUGGUCCGCACGGGCGAGCUUUUUCUCUCCCAUUGUCGGCCAAGGUGAGUCUCCACCGUUCCUCCCUCGAUCUUGAGUGUUUCCUCUAGAUCUUUCAUGGUUUUAACAAGGUUUCAUCUUGCUUUGAAGUUUUUGAGCUUUUGAAUCGAGUUUUGAGCAAGUUUUGAGCUUGGAGGCCUAAGGAGCUAGAUUUCUCCCAAACUCCAAGUUAGAUCGCCUCUAUUCUCGAUCUUCAAGAGGUAAGAGUCGAUCUUGAACUCUUGUAAUGUUUUAAAUAAGUUUCAUGCAAGAUUCAUGGGAUUAAAGGCAUGUUUAGUUCAUGUGUAGGUUUAUGGGUUUAUGUUGUGAUUUUGAGCAAUGUAGCUUGAUUGUGUAUGAAUGAAGUGUUGUAGAUGGGGUAUAUGCAUGUUUGAGGCCCCUAGGAACGUGUAUGCAUGCUUUGGUUGAGAAAUAUGCAUGAUUUAUGGUUUUGGGAGGCAGGAGGUUCAUUUGAACCAAGUUUCUGCCGUUUGGCAGAAACCAGGUUCGGCAGCCGAAGGGAGUUUCGGCCGCCGAACCCCUCUUGUGGAGGCAGCUUUCGGCUGCCGAAGGUGCCCCCGAAAAGAGACUUUCGUCUCUGUCUGGCACUUUCGGCCGCCGAAGGUGCCGCCGAACCUAGCUGAGUUUCGUCUCUGUCCAGGACUUUCGGCCGCCGAAGGUGCCGCCGAAGGUGCCCUGUUCAGCCAUUUCAUGCAUAUUUUCUGUGAUGUUUUCAUGAUGUUUUAAGGGGUUUUUGGGGGAUAUAUUAGCGUUAUGUUUGUUUAUGUUUGGUCCCUCAUUGGAGUCCACCUGUGUAGGUUCGGACCCGAGGAACCGAGGACCCCAGCAGUGAGUGAGCUGCUUCAGUGUCUGGUCAGAGCUAGCCAGGGGUGAGUGGAAACAAGCUUAAUGUUUUAAAUCAAGCAAUUAAAUGUUUUGAGCAUGUUUCAUGCAUCAUGAUGACAUGUAAUAGGCAGAUUGCAUUAGUUCACGAAUAUGUCGCAUUGCAUUUUAUUUUGUGGUUGUGGGUGAAUGCUGUAUGAUCCAAUUAGUCCACGAGACUUAAUAUAUGAUAUGACAGGAAGACCAGGACCCCAUGCUACGGCCUGGCACGAGACUUAAUAUAUGAUAUGACAGGAAGACCAGGACCCCAUGCUACGGCCUGGCACGAGACUUAAUAUAUGAUAUGACAGGAAGACCAGGACCCCAUGCUACGGCCUGGCACGAGACUAUAUUGAGACUAAUUGGUGACAGAUUCACCCUUGAUGUGAAUUGUCUGUGAUAUGAUGCAUUUCAUGAAAGCAUGAACUUUGAUAUAAUGUUUUUUUUAGUUUCUGCUCACUGGGCUUUUAGCUCACCCCUCUCCCCUAACCCCCAGGUUUGCAGGUACGGGAUUGAUAGAGAAGAAAAGAAGAGAAAAGUCAUAUGUAUGUAAUAGCUAGAGUAUGUGGACAUGACAAAUGAUAAGAAUGUAAUGUAAAGUUUUGAACAGUUAUGUUUAUGUAACUNNNNNNNNNNNNNNNNNNNNNNNNNNNNNNNNNNNNNNNNNNNNNNNNNNNNNNNNNNNNNNNNNNNNNNNNNNNNNNNNNNNNNNNNNNNNNNNNNNNNNNNNNNNNNNNNNNNNNNNNNNNNNNNNNNNNNNNNNNNNNNNNNNNNNNNNNNNNNNNNNNNNNNNNNNNNNNNNNNNNNNNNNNNNNNNNNNNNNNNNNNNNNNNNNNNNNNNNNNNNNNNNNNNNNNNNNNNNNNNNNNNNNNNNNNNNNNNNNNNNNNNNNNNNNNNNNNNNNNNNNNNNNNNNNNNNNNNNNNNNNNNNNNNNNNNNNNNNNNNNNNNNNNNNNNNNNNNNNNNNNNNNNNNNNNNNNNNNNNNNNNNNNNNNNNNNNNNNNNNNNNNNNNNNNNNNNNNNNNNNNNNNNNNNNNNNNNNNNNNNNNNNNNNNNNNNNNNNNNNNNNNNNNNNNNNNNNNNNNNNNNNNNNNNNNNNNNNNNNNNNNNNNNNNNNNNNNNNNNNNNNNNNNNNNNNNNNNNNNNNNNNNNNNNNNNNNNNNNNNNNNNNNNNNNNNNNNNNNNNNNNNNNNNNNNNNNNNNNNNNNNNNNNNNNNNNNNNNNNNNNNNNNNNNNNNNNNNNNNNNNNNNNNNNNNNNNNNNNNNNNNNNNNNNNNNNNNNNNNNNNNNNNNNNNNNNNNNNNNNNNNNNNNNNNNNNNNNNNNNNNNNNNNNNNNNNNNNNNNNNNNNNNNNNNNNNNNNNNNNNNNNNNNNNNNNNNNNNNNNNNNNNNNNNNNNNNNNNNNNNNNNNNNNNNNNNNNNNNNNNNNNNNNNNNNNNNNNNNNNNNNNNNNNNNNNNNNNNNNNNNNNNNNNNNNNNNNNNNNNNNNNNNNNNNNNNNNNNNNNNNNNNNNNNNNNNNNNNNNNNNNNNNNNNNNNNNNNNNNNNNNNNNNNNNNNNNNNNNNNNNNNNNNNNNNNNNNNNNNNNNNNNNNNNNNNNNNNNNNNNNNNNNNNNNNNNNNNNNNNNNNNNNNNNNNNNNNNNNNNNNNNNNNNNNNNNNNNNNNNNNNNNNNNNNNNNNNNNNNNNNNNNNNNNNNNNNNNNNNNNNNNNNNNNNNNNNNNNNNNNNNNNNNNNNNNNNNNNNNNNNNNNNNNNNNNNNNNNNNACAUCUCAAAACAUCCAUGCAAGAACAUGCAAAGGAAGGCUGGACAGGGCACUUUCGGCGGCAGGUUCGGCGGCCGAAAGUCCCUCCAGAGCCGAAAGUCAGGCAGGUUCGGCAGCACCUUCGACGGCCGAAACUCCCAGACAGAGACGAAAGUCUCCUUUCGGGGGUAAGCUUCGGCAGCCGAAGGCUGCUUCCACAAGAGGGUUCGGCGGCCGAAAGUCCUUUCGGCUGCCGAACCUGGUUUCUUCCAAAGGGCAGAAACUUGGUUCAAACAUGCACAAAUGCCUCCAAACUCAUACCAUCAUGCAUUUAGCUCAACCAAAACAUGCAUACAAGCUCCUAGGGGUCUCAAACUACCUUAAACCCCAACUACAACACAUCAAACAUACAUUUACAAGCCUCAUUGCUCAAAAACUCAUCAAAACCCAUAAACUCAACAUAUGCUUUCUCAUGCAUUUUCUACCCCAUGAACUUGCAUAAAACUUGCUUAAAACAUAAUGUAAGCUAGAGAUCGACUCUUACCUCUUGAAGAUCGAGAGUAGAGGCGAUCUAAAUUGGAGUUGGGAGAGAUUUAGCUCCUUGGGUCUCCAAGUUCAAAACUUGCUCAAAACUUGAAAAUCUUCAAAAGAAAGUAAAAACUUGUGAAAAUCUUGGAAGAUCUGGAGGAAAAGACUCAAGAUUGAUGAGGGACGGCGGAGAACUCACCUUGGCCGACAAUGGGGAGAAAAGCUCGCCCGUUUUCGGCUAAGGGACCCUUUUAUAGUGGCUGGCCAGGCCACAUUCGGGGGCCGAACGUGCCUCCGCAUGCAUGCCAUGUUCGGCAGCCGAACUUGAGGUUCGGCGGCCGAACCUGAGCUUCCCUCACUUAUGCCUUCAGGGGCCUAAGGCACACCCGAAAUGCAGGCAUGUUCGGCGGCCGAACUUGAGAUUCGGCGGCCGAACCUGGGUUUUCCUCCAAGAUUGAUUUCAUGCAAAAACUCAUUUCAUUUUUACUUAAAACCAUGGAAUACAUUAAAACAUUUUAUGAAAACAUGUUUCUACCCUACUAGAGGCUUCCGACAUCCGAGAUUCCACCGGACGGUAGGAAUUCCGAUACCGGAGUUUAGCCGGGUAUUACACUAAUCUAAUAUUUUUUCUAUUUAUCAUGAUAUACCAUUUCUCAUUUUUCUUUUAAUUUUUAUUUCUAUCCAACAACUUUCUUCCAACCCUAAUUUAACUAAUUUACAAUGUUUAAUAUAGUAUUCCUUAUUUAGACUAAUAAUUAUUUUUUUUAUUAUUACUAUAUCUUAGCCAAAUUACAUCCCUAUCAAAGAAAGUAGAGACAUUCCACUUGCUCCAUAACUUGAGUUUUACUCAAAUUAUAUAUUAAUUUCAAAAUUUUCUAUUUAUUAAAUUUAUCAUUUCUUCAAACUUUAAUCAUACUAUAUAACUAAAAUAUUAUUCACUUGAUCUAGUUCUAUUAAGGUAGUAAAAUUUUCAAAUAAACCUAAUUAACAAAUUAUUGAAUUUAUUCAAAUAAAGUUGAUCACAGACCUUAAAUCUUCCAUAAGCUUAAAGUUUUCUAAUCUUCCUUUCCUUUCCCUUUAGAGUUUCCACUCUUUCCUUCCACUUCUUCUUCAUGAAAAAAAUAAACAAAUAAAUCAUAUUAAUGCAAUAUUCUUCAUAAAUAUUCACAUAAAAAUGAUAAGAAAUAUUCUUACAUUAAAACCCCUAAAAUACCUUUAAAUUUUUCAACACUUUGUUAUUAUUCAUUUUCCCUCAACCUUGAAUUUUCUCUUUAAUUUCUCUUAUUUUCUUCAAAUUCUACUUUGAAAAGUUGUUGGGAGAAAAUGGGUAAUUGAUUGGAUGCGGAAAUUUGAAGAAAUUUGGUGUAGAAAAAAAAAGAUAGAGAAUGGAAAUUUUUUUUUUUUGUUCACACCAGAGGAAGGAGAAUUGAAGAAGAGGGGUUCUUUUUCUUCUUUUCUAGUCUUUUUUUCUUCUUUUUUUCUUUUUUUUUUUUUAAAUUACUUAGUUAAGUGGCUAGCAAGGUGUCACUUGUCUUUAAAUUAAAAUUUAUUUUAUUAUUUUUUUUCUCUCUUUUUUUUUUCCUUUCUUUUUUUAUUCUUAUUCUUUUUUUAUUUAUUAUUUAUUUUAUUUUAUUUUUGGAAUGUUACAUCAUUUAAGUGUACGCCUCAUCUAGAUCAUCAGGUCUAUACCUCGUCUAGAUCAUCAGGUCUAUACCUCGUCUAGAUCAUCAAAUCUAGAUCGAUAAGUAUACACCUCGUCCAGGUUCACUAUGUAACACUCCCUACCCGAUUAUUUAAUUAACCGAGCACAUUUUAUAACUGUUCUCUUAGUUUUACUUUAAUUUAUAUCAUGUAAUUCAUCAAGUUCAAGUGUACACCUUAUUCAAGUGUACAUCUCAUCCAAAUCGUUGGGCCUACACCAUCAUCCACCAGGUCAGUCAUCCAAAUCGUAAGUGUACACUUCAUCCAGAUCCUCAGAUCUACACCUCAUCUGAUCAUCCAUACCUCAUCUAUCGGCAUGUCCAUGUCCUAAUUGUUGUCCACAUCUUUACACCUCGUCUCAAAUACAUAAACUAUUUCAAAUGUGAAAUUUGAAAUAACUAAAAAAAAAAUUCAAAAUCCUAGAUAAGGAUCGUCUCUUUCUAAGAUUCAGGGUCAGUCAAUAAUUAACACCACCGCUUUCGAACUUCACUUCAGCACCAGCAACCUAAGACCCAAGUGCAACAACUUUUCUUAAUCACUUGGACAUUUCUCUCGACCUUGCCCUCAAUCCAUUUCUAUUCUCUUUUUCGAUUGUCUUAACCCAACCUCCAAUUCCCCUUUGUCGAGAGGUUGGGUUAGUUUUUCUCCAUGUAAUUAAGCAAAUUAAAUUUAAAUUUAAACAUGUUAUGUCCAUAAAAUUGUCACUAAACUGAAAUUUGUGAUUCAUUUUUAUGAGUUGUAAGCAAAAUCGUAAAUCACCAUUCUUUUAUAUAAUUUGAACCUUAUGUUUAGCAAGUUGUACCGUGUAAAUAAGUUAGAUGGAUUCAAGAAAGGCUUGCCUAAGUAAUUUGGAUGAGAAUAGGGUUGGUGAUUAAAGCAGUAUUUUGUAACAAAAGAUUACCAAGGGCUAGUUUUAGCUGUGAUGAUGGAUAUGGGUUAUGAAUUAUGGAAAAUAACCAAACUCGUCGAUUCUCAACCAAAACUACGGAUGAUGGACAUGAGGAUGGCCCAGAGGAAAGUAAGUUUGUGGGCGUGUGCCUUGAGAAGAAAAUCAAAUGAAAUAAAAUGACAUUGCAAUGUAUAAUUACAAUGAGUUAUUGAAUGAAUUUUCUUUUUUAAAAAGGAGCCAACAACUCCCAUUUAACUCAUAUAAUAAAUAAACAAACAAACAAACAAAAAAUUAGAAGAGUUGCCUCUAUCCAUUAUGUUAUCAAAGGGAAAAAAAUAAUAAUUAUUAUAUAUUACUAUAUUAUUAUCCGCCACAACCAAUUGCUUUUGCUUUGCUUCUCGAUCAACCUCCCAGGAAGUUUCCUACUUGUUAAUAACUGGGAUACAAACCACACGUGCGAUUGUGCAUGCACAGCUGUGAGUCACGUGUCUUAAUUCUGCGACUUAUUGAGCUUCUUGGAGAUGACAUCAUUCCAGAUCUCAGUGAAUGCUUGAAUGAUGAGGCCAUGGUGGUAAGGAGAAUUCAGCUCUAAGAAGCAAUUCAGAAGCUCCUGAAGAUCAUCUUUGGAGUAGAUUUCUUUCUCAAAUAUCAUUUGCAACAUGGAAUGCCUGAAAUCUUGAUAUGGAUCAUUAGAAUCCUUCACCACAGCAAUGCUGUUGAUGAUUUUGGAAUCUUUUGGAUCGUUUUCAUCAGAGACGGACGUUGUUAUAGUGGAAGUGCAGCUUUCUUCAUUGCCUCCGCUUUUGUGACGAGUGCUUGAAGAAGAAAUACAAGUGGGAGGAUCCGUCUGAUGAGAAACGGCUGAUCUGGGCACUGCACUAGGCUCAUGUACAUCUGAAGGUUUUGACCUGCGACAGCCGCAGCCUGAAUUUGCUGCUGUGAGCACUGUUUUACUAAGAAACUUUUUCUUGGUGGAGGGCAUUGCAGAGGGGGCGGUUGGGGGGAGAGUAUAAUUUAGAGAGAGAGAGAACAAUAAUAUCAUAUAAAAUAGAUUUGUGGAACAUAAAGAAGGCUUUAUUGGUAGGAGUCGUUGUGAGGAUUCAGUCGUGGAAUGAGAGAUGGUGUAUUUGGGUGGGAGACAUUUUCUACAUAAUUGCUGAGGAAGACAGGUCUUUAAGGCAUUUGACUUAACGUAGGGGUUAGAGAGAUUGAUCAUUUUCACGAUAAACCUUAUCUCUUACCUAAUCUGAAACUUCCCAGAACACAUUACCCUAAUCUAAUAUGAUUUCGAGCCUUCGCACCUUAUUAUUGGAAAAUGAAUUUAGUACGUAAUUAUUGAAUAGUGUGUUAUUAUAUACCCUAAUCUAAUAAUAAAUAUGAAAAGCUAAAUAUAAAUAUUCGAUUCAAAAAUUAUUAUUUUUAUAUAAAUUAAGUAGAGUAUUUUUUUCUUUAAAAAAAAGAAAAAAGAAAAAAACAAUGUAUAAAGUAGAGUUAAUAAUAAUUAUAGCUUCAUUGAGCAUCAUGGUUUACCAAAAAGAAAUAAUUAACAGAAGGUUUUAGGAUUUAAUUGUGGCAAUAAUAUAAUUAAGUGGAUUUGAUGUCUUGUAAUGCAGACAAAUGUUUUCUUAAGAUAUCUUUAUAAUUUCUAACUAUAAACUAAUAAUUAGUAGCAUUUUGUGUUAAUUGAUACCUUAAUCAAUAUAUUCUCUAUUGUGAUUACUGAUUAUUAAUUAAUUUGAAGGAUUAUUAAAAGAAAUUUAAAAAUAAUAAUAAAUCCGUGGGUUCUACUUUUCCUAAGACAUAUAAUUGAAAAUAAAUACAUAAUAAGUUUUAAAAUUUGUUGCAUGCCAAGACAUGAACUCAUCUAUCUAUCCAUUACUACAAUUCCUACUGAAUUUUGAAAUUAAAAUCUCACAAUUUAUCAAUACUUGUAUACCAAUAUUAUAGGAAAAUAGGAAGAUUUUGUAAUUGAAUUUAAAAUUUAAGCGGAUAAAAUUUUAUUAUUUAAAAUUAAAAAGUUUGAAUUUUAGAUAUACAUAAACACUAAAAAUAAUUUUUUAAGAUAAAAUUAUUUAAAUAACGCAAAAUGAUAAUUUGAUAAUAAGUGGUUUUUUGAAUUAUUGACAAAUAUAUUUAAAUUCUAAAUUAAAGAUUAGGAAAAUGAAUAUAAAUAACUUGAUGAUAUUAAAUUAUUUGAUAAUAUGUUCUUGAUUAUAUUUAUAUUUUAAAGUAUAUUUGAAUUUUGGAAUAUAUAUUAAUAAAAAAAUAAGUAAAUGGAGAUCAGAUUAUUAAAAUAAAAUUAAAAAAAAAAUUAAUCGUAGGAUAAUUAAUGAUAAUAUGAUUCAGUCAUUUGAUAAUGACAAUUCAACUUUUAGUAUUAAUAUUAAAUAUUAAAAUAAUUAUUAUAAUAUCAAUUAUUAAAUAAGAUAUUUAAAUUUAUAAGAUAAUAAAAUAAAUAUCAAUGUGAGCGUUAUAUAAUAUUAUUUAAAUUUAAUAAAUAAAUAUUUAAACUAUGGACAUACAUCAAAAAUAAAAAAAAAUAAAAUUAUAAAUUAUAUAUAUUGCUCAGGAAAAACCAAAAUAUUGAGGUAAGAUUAUUAAAAUAAUAAAAUAGAGUAAUUAUAGAGAGUAAUAUAAAAUAACUCAAAUUCAUAAGACAAAAAUUAUAAAUUAAUUAUAAUUUAUGUGUUCCUAAUUAAUAUGGUUAGGAUUUAGCUAUCCGUGUCUUAAGAUUCCCACAAAUACAAUAGAUAACGCUACCCCAUUUACUAUUUUUAUUUUUUAAGCAUUUAAAAUAAUAUAACAUAUGUUACAACAAUGAAACUCAAAAUUAUAAUUUUACAAUUAAAACUAUGAGUAUUUCAAUUUUUUUUUCUCCUUGCAUUAUUUUUAAUUAAUUAAUUUUUGUGUUGUUAUAAAUGUUUAAUUAUUAUCUUUUUACUUCUAUAUAUUUAUAAAGGAAUUUUAUUAGAAAUCUAUGUUUAUAAUAGUUGGGUAUUUUAAAGAUUAAAUUUUAAUUAGCUAUUAAAAUUAAUACAAUUUUACAUCUUGUAUAAAAAGUAAAGAAAAGCGAGAAUUAAAAAUAAGUGAGCCAAUUACCGGUAUUUCAUUUUAUUUGAUCCACCGCAACUCAUAUCCUCUUCCAUUGGCAAGGCAAGUGAAAGGUUAUCCUCUUCUUCAAGGUGUCGCUGUGAUAAAGUUGCUAUAUACUUGGCCUCUCAGGGGACCAUAGGUUUCACAACUGACUCGUGAAAGCGCAAAUGACCGAAAUGUCCUCGUCCGACUAAUUCAAGUUCUUAUCUGCACCACCCAUCUUAGUCUUCCCAUUAGGGAAGUUUUGGCAUACAAGCUCCCCCCGUUUCUCCUUUUUCAUUUUCUCUAUUUUGUUUAGCAGAUAUUAAAAUCCAACAGUUUCAUGUUCUGGAGAUAGAUUGAUUGAUAGAUAGAUUGAGAACCUUUUUCCCUGGCUGGAGCUUACUAAUAGCGAUGGCCAUAGUUAUGCAAGCCUCUCCUCUUUUUUCUGCUACUUCUCUCAUCAGUAGGAGAAACUUCAACGAUUACUAUUUUGGCUCCGUUCAACCUCCCAAAUCCAGUUUUAAGCACUUUAUCCCCAAAGCCAUAAAACAGACAAGAGAAGAAACAAAUAUCCCAUCUCCUUCACCUGAGGAAAUUACCCAAAAAUAUGGUCUCGAAGCUGGUCUUUGGAAGGUACCCAAUUAUCCAAAUCUCUGCUUCGCUCCUUCUUCUUCUUCUUUUCCUCUUGCACUUGCUUAAUGUCAAUUUUUCUACUGGUUCAUCCGUAUGUGUUUGCUACUGGGAAUUUUUAAGCGACACGGUUAGUGAUUAUUAGAAUAAUUAUCCCUGAAAUUCGAUGUUUAGUCGAUUAUAUUUAAUUGCUUUUGAGAAACUGAUAUCUCAUGUAUAUAACUAUUUUCACAUGUGCAUGAUGAUGAAGAUAUUCAGUUCAAAAGAGGGGAGAAGGGAAGAUGAUGGCGAGGAAAAGAAAUCAAAGGGAGAGCAAGCUAAGGAGCUUCUAGCAAAAUAUGGAGGAGCAUACCUGGCCACCUCCAUUACACUGUCCUUGAUCUCCUUCUCUCUCUGUUAUGCACUCAUUAGUGCAGGAGUCGAUGUCCAAGCUUUGCUGCAGAAGGUGAGAUCAAGCAAUCAAAUUUCAUAUGAAGCCAGCUUUUACUACUUUUUAAGUCCUACAUACAACGACUGAUUGAGCUUGCAAAUUUUCAGGUGGGAAUUUCUACUGAUGAGACAGGGGAAAAGGUUGGGACCUUUGCUUUGGCAUAUGCUGCACACAAGGCUGCAUCUCCAAUAAGGUUUCCCCCUACUGUAGCUCUCACUCCCAUUGUUGCCAGUUGGAUUGGCAAGAAAGUAGAUAACGAGAAGUAACUCAUAUGUGAAUUGUGCGCGUUAUGUUCUUGUUCUACAUGAUCUCGAGUCUCAGAAUUUCAUUUUAGAACUCUCUGAAAUGAACCCAGCUAAUAUAUAAGACCACAGAUACUUGGCAUUGAUGUCUCACAGACAACUAAGGUUAGCAUUUUGAAUCAAUCCAAGUGAUCUAGGUGAUUGCAGUCACUUUUCCAUAUAAUUUUCAUACUAUCAAGUCAUCCUCGCUUUUCAUUUGUGCUCGUGUUGAGUGGUUUAAAAAUAACAUUGUAAAGAGGAAGAGGGGUGGGUUCAAGAUCCUAAACAAAUUCAUUUCCACUUCUAGUCAGAUAAAAUUUUUCCCAGUCACAUAAUAUCUUACAUGUUGGCAAGCUAUCGAAUUCAAGAAAACCAAAGUUAGAGCAAUGUACAAGAAUGAAUUCAAGAAGAAAAAAAACAUUAGUGACUUUAUUUCCGUCAGGAUUACAUGGAUUGCAAUAUUACAAUGUGCUGUACAAUGCAAGAGCUAUUUCCUAUUCUUUGGUUCCUCAGUAUGACUUCAAGAACAUUAUGAUCCAAAUCCAAGGAACCACUCAUCCAAGCCCCCCAUAGCAGUUGCAAGGCUGAAGGGAGAUGCAUUAGAUGCAGGCAUCACCUGUUUUCCAACCAAAAACAAGCUCCUGUAUCUUUGAUGUCUUUAUUUCAACCUGCAGUAGUAUUAGCACCAGAAGGCACUUCUGUUGGAUUUGAUGGUGGAGUCUGGGGUCGAGGUAUGCUGAUAUUUGCCAUGCUAUAGUCAUCAUGAAGUGUACCAAAUUCACUCCACUCAACCCCAGCUUUAGCGAGUUAGGGAAUUAAGAAUACAAAGCUCAAUCUAUAUUAGGCAAACAGAAUGCAAUACUUUAAGAAGGAUACGUUCAGUGCGCCACAUGUCUGUGAUGCUAACACCAGCAUCUGAUAAAAGCCAGUAAUCCGCAUCACUCUGCCAACAAGCAAAUAUACAAAAUUAUAAAUAUAUGCAAAAUGUGAAAAAUAGUUCAUUUCUUGCAUACAUAAAAGCAAUAAAACCAAAAGGAAGACAUACAUCUACAUCUGUGGGAACAAUCUUCAUGAUCCCACUCACAAAGUCCUGUGAGGUGUUGAGAUCUGAGCACAUUCUAUGAUCGUCUUGUCCCAGCAUUUCAAUCUCCUUUUCCCUGCUCUCCCCAGGGACCAUCGUAGUCGCUAGAUUUUCAUUAAAGCCUGAAGUUGAUGGAUAACUUUUGGGUGGCUCAACACCAUGAAUCUCCUCAAAUUUCUCUUCAAAUUGACUAAGAUAACAGGGCAUGAGGGAGAGCUAUCAGGACAGUUCAUUAGAAGUCAAAAAAUUCAAUGGCAACUAAUCCACUAAAGUGAAGGUUGUGUCUCACUAAGAAUGGCGACAGUAGGUAUACACAAAAAUCACCCUACCCAGCCUGAUUAAUAUUUUCAAUACUUAAACCCAUACUAAACCAACUUAAAAUUUAUCUUAAACUAUCUCAAUCCAUCCUAAACUCGAGUAUUAUAACUCGAAGAAUACCAACACCCUUUUAGUUUCAUAUCUUUUAAUCUCUACAAAAUAUAUCUUUCAUUAAUAAACUUUAUUUAAAAAUUAGAUAUAGAAAAGAUGUAUAUGUUAUUAUAAAGAAUACAUUAUACAUUAUAUAAACAGGUUUGGAUAAUGGGCAUCUAAUAUAUAAAAUCCAAAUUCAACCUGAACCUGUCAUGGAUACUAAUUUCUAAACUCAAACCCUUCCCAAAUCCAAUUAUAUACUGCCUAAACUCGUCCUAAUGGGUCAGUUGGAUGAGAUACCAGAAAAUACCCAACCAUUGCCAUUCUUACUCACCAGCCAUAUAAAACAUAUUAGAAGCAACAGUACCUGACAAGAUAAACAUCUAUGGGACCCAUUGUACUUCUAAGCACGAUCCUGUAUCUUCUCUGGGGAUAGUCAACAGCCUGCUGCAGAAGAGGAGGCCCACAAUGAGCAAGAAUGCACAAAUAAAUUUUGCACUUUUUCCUCGAUGGACUGCUUAUGGGAUUACCUCAUCGGGAUCUGGGACUUCCAAAGUAGUGCCAUGAGGAGCUUUAAUUGCUAUUAAGGUUUCAUUCUGUUAAAGGCAAGAAAUUAGAUGUUCGGCUAGUAACAAGAUGAAAAAAUGUAUUAGAAGUCCAGGGACAGACCAAGAACCAAGUAUAAAACCUCAAGUAAUAAUGAAGCAAAGAGAAGAACAAACCUGAAAGCAGGGUAAGCUCUUGAUAUCUUCCUCAGUGACAAAAAGCCACCUAAAAUGGUGAAACACAAAUUGGCAAAAUUUCAUCAGUUAAAAUAAUAAUGUUGUGUAAAAGACUGUAAUUUAAUGCAAACGUUGGCAGAAAAAUUUACUUCUGGUUAGUUUCUUCUUCACUGAGGUCCCUUAAUCUUUCUUGCACUUCUCUGCAAUAAAUUUGAAAAUCAGCACAAACCAAAAGAUGCAAAUUAGCAACUUGUGGGAGUUGCAUGUACACAGGGGAAAAACACAUAACCUUAUUCGAUCAUCUAAUCUGUGUUCCUCAAUGUUAAGGUUUUCAACUUCUGCCUGCAAGGGAGAAAAACCCAUCAAGAAAUAAAGCUAAAACCUAUAUCUUAGGAAGGCUUUUGUCAUUCCAAGUUCUGUCCAGUGCAAGAAUUUGUUAUUCAAAGUGAUACUAAUUAAUUCAAUGAAACUAAAAUCUUCAAUAAUAUCCAUUCAGCAGAUCUGGAUAUUUCUAAUUCAAACUUAUUCAUUGUAAUCGCAACAUUGCCAAUGCUGGAAAGCACCCCUUAAUAAAUCUAAAUUAGGGGCACUUCUCUGCGGCUAACUAUCAAAUACUUAUAAUUAGUUUUCCAAUAAGAAAGCAUGUUACUUCCAGAUGGCACCAAAAAUACCGUCAAAGUAGUUCUUAAAACAUUUCAGUCAUUGAAAAAUAAAAACAAAAGACAUACCAAAAUAGAACAAAGAAACAUCCUAUGUCAAAAAGAAGAGAACCUGUGCUAAUCCAAAAGUACAAGUCAAGAAGCAAACUGUCAAAUAAUGCAUACCUGCAAACUAGAGACAUUCUCAUCUGCUUCCCCUGGCCUUGAGACAUCGAGUCCCCUGACAUCAAUAAAAUAUUCAAUGACUUAUAAAAUGCAACAUUAUUGAUAACUACUCAAGAACCAACACCAUUCUAGACACUAAAUGACAUCAAAUGGGGAAAAUAAUGGGAAAAGGAAAAGGAGAAAGCGAUAUGUACAUACUUCCACUGUAUUCUAUUCUUGAGCUUCUUUUCUAUCAGACCAAUUCCUUCUAGGACAUUUGUUAUGUCAUAUAUCCUCCGCUUUUGCACCUGUAGUCAUAGAAACCUCUCGAAUGAACUUUAUAUUGCAAAAUUGAUUAGAUGGGAAUAAUUAACUGUCACCUCCAAAGUGUCUGCGGCUUUGUUAAGAUCUAGAAUACCAUCUUCAGCAUGUUUGAUCAGAUUGAUGAACUUUUUUGUCAAGAGACCUGAAGGCACAAUCACAUAAUAUUUUACUGUUUCCAAGAUAGACUCUCUACUCAAAAAGCCAUUUGAGAUAGUGCCCCCUAAUGAUGCCAACAACUUGGCUUCAAUAUAAGAUCACAAAUGCAUGAAAGAAAUAGAGUUUACCUAGGGAACUGUCAUAACGACAGGGACCAGUCAGGGUAAGAUUACUUCCAGGAGAACCUGUCAAUUAAAAAAAAUAUAUUCUUCUCAUUAUUUUUUCAUUUUCAUUUUCCUUUUCUUUAACAUUUUUGGUGCGAGAAGAGGAGAGAAUCUUUCCAGAAUCAGAAAGAAAUCCAAAAUACGGCUCAAUUGUUAGUCCAUACUGACCCGACCAUUAGAAGAGCCAAUAUUCCAGAGAAAAUUUAUUAUAUAAUGCUCACCAAGAUGUGAAGCAGCAUUCUGGGGUCCAGAUUUACUGCUCUUUGAAAGCCUAGAUGUUUUGGGUGCCUUUCCACCUUUUCCAGAUACGGGUGUCUGGAGGGGGCUGUUGACUACUUCUGUGAAGCCAGUACUAGUGUUCCACUCACUGGAUUCAGCUUCAUGAUCUGCUGCAUCACUCUUCCGCUUAAAUGGCUGAUACACACCAUUUAAUUUUUUUUCUAAACCACAAUUAGUUACAUAUGCACUGUAUAAAUAAGAUUUUUAAAAAGAAGAAAAAGAAAAAGAAGAUAACAAAUUAGAAGUUAGAACUCCAGUCAAGCUUUAGAACAACAAUUUACAUGUUCACCAACUUCAAUUGAGUGUUCAUGCAUAUACACCUGGCAACAUAAAGGUGCUAACCUACGCAACUUUUUUCCAUUUUUUGUGGUUGUCUUGUGUAUGCUGUGGGGUGGGGUGGGGAUGAGGGAGGGAAGGGGAAAAGUACUCUGAAAUGAGAACUUAUUAUUACAAUAAGUUAUCAGCAGAUCUAUGAAAAAGGACACAAAGUUAUCCGCAUGUGCUAGCCGGGAUAUCCAUUGAAAAAAAUAGAAGUCAAGUUAAAUUCGUACAGUUAUUAAGGCAGUGUAGAAAUCCUGAUACAAUGAUACCAACUUUCAAGUUUCAAAAAAGGAAACCAUCCAACCAAGCAUAUGCCUGGAGCUAUUUUUCUUGAUAAUAACAUCAUAAUUACCAUCUCUUUCCUUUUUCCUUGUAAAACAAAUCUUUUAAAUGAUUGGAAAAAAGACCUAGUACAACCGAAUAACAACACUGCCAUACAAUUAAAACCUGGAGAUGUUGCCUAUAGAUAUAUCUUUUAUGCCCGCUCGUUAUAGAUCCUGUAUCUUACCAAGUACCAGUGAUUGGUUUGACCUGAAAUAAUUUUGCUUACAGAAGAAUCACAGUAACUAGUAAUUACUAGGAGCACUACAACCACUUCUGUCCUAAAUGUGAAAUUUUAACAGUGCAAAGCAGUCAGUUGAGGCAAUCCAAAGUUUUCUCCCAUCAAAGUGGUUUGAGCACAGUACAUCUGCCGGUAACAACCCUUGUAAGACAUUCAGAAACAGAGACUACACUAAAUCAUCUUAUGCUCUCAACAAUGCAGAACAGGUAAAUUCCUGACUUUUUGCUUCCCACUGAGGAAUGCACAGACAUCUCUUAUACAACUUUUGAGAGCUGACCCUGAUGCCCAACCUUACCUCAGUAAACAAGAACAACUUAAAGGAAGAAAAACAAAAGUGCCACGUCAUAUCCCACAUCAAAUAGUUAUAUAAAUAUACACAGGCCUAUCUAGAGGAAUAAUUGUGAAAGCCUUAUUUUGGUCUAUUUGAUUAAUUACCAGUUUUCCGCCAAAACUUGAACCAAAGUUAUCUAAGAUCUUAUACCAAAUUGAACCAAUUAAAUCAGUGGUUUUUCGGUUAACACCACUCCAAGUACCACUCCACUAGUGUAUCUUAUCAAUCUAAGCAGUGAACCAAAAAUAAAAUUUUUCUCCCUCUGGCCACCUCUCCCUCCCCCUUCCCUCACUUAACUCUGUCAUGCAUGGAAAAUGGCAUUUCACUCGAGCGAAACAUGGAUCUCAGAACACUUAAGCACCAAAGAAAAUGAUAUCAAUUUGGAUUUAACAACUAAUCUAAACAAGGACAUCAAAGUGUCCUCUAUUACUCAUGAGUCAUGACCAUACUAUUAGAUGCCAUAAAUUCAAAGUAUCUAAGGAGUAAUUUAGAUGUGGGCAUGUGAGCAUUUAGAGGUGAAAUAGUAAGUGGGGAUAAGGGUUGAACUUAAGACUCAAAUAUUUAAAAUAACAAUAAUAAUAAAGGUUCAUAAAGAUGCCAUAGCCAGAAACAUGAAAAAUGAUUAGGGCUUGGUAUAGUACUCUAAACAUCCUAAUGCAGGCAUGUGGAAUAUAUGGUUAGAGUAAGGGUGCAAAGGUAACUACUAGACAUCCCAAUGCACAUAUGUAGAGAAAGUUUGAGCAUUUACAAUGUGAAUGUCCAUGUGAGCUUGUUUGCUCACCAUGGUACCACAAUUGGGAAACUUAUGUAAGACAAACUUUAUAACUAAAAUCAACAUGGAACAUGAGAUUAGAUUUUGAGUUUCAGUCCAUUGAAAGAUUAGACCUAGUAAAUUUAUGGAUUGUAAGCUUUACCCUUUUGCAUCUUGAAAUAACUUUAUAAUACAAUUUGUUUUGAAAAGUUUCAACUCCUUGUUUAGUUGGGAGGUAACUCAACUCAUGAACUUCAAGUUCAAAAAAGUGCUAAAAUUUUGCUUGAUUGGUUGGUCAUUUUUCUUAACUUUCUAGAAAGUCAAAGUACUAGUCUCCUUUAUUAGUUACUCCCCUAGCACAAUUAAAUUACUUUCCAGCAAGUUCACCUCCCAGGAAGUAGGCAGCAAUUUGAACCAAACAAGGCCUAAGUUUAAUGCUUCUUAGUAGGUGUAAUCAUAUGGGAUGUUUAGUUUUUAACAGGACUCAUAUUCAGUAUCUCAACAUUAUGAUUGGUGUAUAUACAGGACAAUGGUUGCUGAAAGCAGCAUUUAACUUCGCAGAUGGCUAAACUUUAUUGCCAAAGGUAAGGGGUUACAACUACCAAGAGGAACAAACACCCGAAGUUAAGUCAUAAUACACAAAAGGCCGAUCUAGUUUCUUGAAAAGAAAUGCUUUUAUCUUGACUACCCCUGACUAACCUCUUACAUGCAUAAAUAUCUCAAAUUGGAACGAGUAAUUGGGUCAUACAAUUGCAAUUAGCACAGCAGAUUUACUUGCAAAUCAACGACAAUCACAGAAUACAGAUAAUUCAUAAAGUAAAAAAGUUUUAAAAUGAACGCAUAAAUUGAGGUGAAAUGUACCAAUUCAACUAGAAAAAGGCCUCAGUAGCAUAUAAUACGCAAAAAAAUUAUGAAACCCACAGCGAAAAUCUAUUAAAUCACACCAAAAUCAACAAUAAAUAAAUAAGUAAAUAAACUAAAUUCCACUUAAGUUCAACACCAAUCGUUAAUCUCGAGGGAACAAACUGGCAAAAAGUGAUCAAAAGCAUAAACUAAGUAGAUAUCCAGAAAAAUAGAAAAUAGAAAAAUAUUUAUACAAAAGAAAAAGAAACCUUGAAAUGAUAUACUCACAGGAGGUUUAACAACGAUGGCCUCAACAUCAUGAUCGGCAACUCGGCGUGGUUCAGAACUGAACCGAUGAUAGUCACCAGGGGCCGAAAAUGGCGGCUUCAUAGAAGAAAAAGGGAGCUGCCGUUUUAAGGGAUUCUGGGUGACGUUUUGCUGCGGAAGCCUUGUCGAUGAGUUUGGCGGUUGGGAAUUCGACAUCGGGAGAAAAAGGAAACAGAAAAGCAGAAUAAAAGAAGAAAUAUGGAAAUCCUCUUCAAGGGUUUUUGGCGACUUCAGGUAGAAAGAGAGGAACUACAGAAAGAGCUGUCGUGAGAUGUCGCAAGAAAAGGAUUCAUGGAAUUGGAGAAGAAUUGGUUGAGAAUUGAAAGAGAGAUCUGUGAAUUUGGUAUUGGAAAAAAANNNNNAAAAAAAGCGGGAGAGAGAAAGGGAUCAGAAAACGAGGGAAAGAAGGAAGGAGGGAAUUUGGUUCGGAUAUAAGAUGUGGAGGGAAGCUCCUCUAAAAUAAUUGAAAAUAAUGAUAAUAAUAAUAAUAAUCAACCGUUUGAUCGAAGGUUAAAAUUGCAUACAGUUUGGUCUAUUUGAAGUAUCUAUGAUUUUCAUCGCAACUCGAGAUUAAAAUUUUUGAGUUGAUUUGGGCGUAACAUACUAUUUGAUAAAAUAAAUAUAACUAUAACAAUGUAUAUAGAGAGUAUUAUAGAAUAAAGAAAUGAAAAGCCAAUAAUCCAGCCAAUUUUUGGCUUUAUCUAAGAUGAAGGGAAGAAAGAUAUACGUUGUCGAAAAUAAAUAUAAAAAAAAAUAUAAUAUAUUACUCCAUAAGAUUGGUUUUUAAUCUGGUAAUUUUGUUGAAAAAAGUGUGAUAAUUAGCUUCAUUAUCUUGAUCGUGAAAUUAGAGGUAAUGUUUUGUUUUACCUUGAUGACGUGGAGUGAUGAGAUUGGGAAAAUGGAAUCAGACCAGAAUAUAAGGCUGUAGACUAGUGGAGAUCGUGGGAGCUAGAGUGGAAAAUUUUCGUUUUUCUUUUUGUCUAUAAAUUAUCCCGUAAUCAAUAUUUUAAUUCAUAUAUUAAAAAUAUUAAAAGUAAAAUAUCAUAAUGCCAUUCGACAUAAAUUAUCAUUUCUUUUUUUAUAGUAUAAAUACUAUUUUUUCUAAAUUUAUCAUUAUUGAGACUUGUUAUUUAAAUUUUUUUAAGUAAUGGUUAAAUUAAUAAAUAUAAAAGUAUUAAUUAUGAUACGAUUAAAAGGGAAAAAAAUUACCAAAAAUAUUAUAGGAUGUGAUAUUUAGAGGGAAGGGAGGCGCAUAACAAAAAGAAAAGUUUCGAAUCGGCGAUGCGCGCCUUUUGUAGAGUAAAGAGAAAGACGAUUAUUUGCGCGCGUUUCCGGAGAGUUCCACUCACCCCUCACCAACCAAAUCCAUAGACCUUGGGUAGCCAGCCACUUCAUCCACUUGCUCUGGGACUCUUCUCACGUGUCUUGGGCUGGGCUGGGCUGGGCUGGGCUUGUUUCCACCGAUGCAAGGAAAACUACUAUUUAAUUUAUAUGACAUUAAAAAUUUUAUUAAUUAAUUAUUGUAUUUUAAAAAAUAUAUUAAUAUAUUUUAAAAUUUUAAAAGAUAUACUAAAUUAAAAUUUAAUUACUUUUAAUUAUUAAAUAAUGUAUUAAUUUUAAAAUAUUUCAAUACAAAAUUAUUAAAUAAUAAUUUUUUUAAAAAAUAUUUUAAUAUAUUUUUUAAAAUGAAUAUCGAUUAUUAAUAAAUUUUUUAUACUGUUCAAUCUUUAAAAAAAAAUUAAUUAAUAAAAUUUUUAAAAUUUCAUGCAUUUUUAAAAAUUGAAAAAUCAACUCAUUUCUUUGUAUUAUAUGAUAUUUUUUUAAUAAUAUAUGAAAGUAUAAUUUCAUUGUGUAUUCUUAAUAUCAGUCUCAUUAUUAAAAGUUAAAUUAAUAUAAUAUCAUAUAUAAAUAUAAAAAUUUUGUUUUAUUCGUUGAAAAAGUGAUUGGAAUUUCACUUUGAUAUCUAUACAUUUCUAUUUUUUAGAAAUCAUAUUUGUAGAAUUAUUAAAUUAAAAUUAAUUAAUAAUAUAAAAAAAAUAAAUAUAUUACUUUAUACCUUUUAUUUUGAGAUUAUACACAAUAACGAGUCCCCUGGACCAGCUUCAGCUCGGGUGGCUUUGGUUGAGCUGUAGGUCAUGACUCGAUCAGUGAUACAAUAAAGCCACAUGCCACAAAAGGAGGAGUUAGAUUCAAUCAGGCAGUCUCUAAGGCAUGAUCAACGAGGAAGACGGGCGACGAGAAUUAACGGUGCCAACGACGGGAGGAAAAGAGAGAUUAUAAGAUUGAAAAUGUUCAUGAGAAGAAAAUGAAUAGAAUGGAGAUUGGUGAGGAUGUGAGGCUGCUGUAACCGAAUUGAUUUCUUUAUUUUUGGUAAAAGAUAUUAUAGUAUAAUAUAGUAUAAUUUGAAUUGAUUCACUUUAAUUAUUGUUAAUCCCACAAUUGGUUGGGUGGCUUUUUCUGUUAGCAGUAAUGACCUUGCAUAUUUGCUUUUACAGGACAAUUGAAACAACUUCAUGUUUGAAGGCCAACACGGUGGAAAAUUAGAUAUACACUUAACAAUUUUCAUGAGCUGGAUCAUCAAAGUAAUCUCUCUUCAUAGCAAGAGGAAAAGGUCAUAUUGAAACUUGAAAUAUCAUUCCGUUAAAUAUAUUGGAGAUGGAAUAUAUCGAAUUUAACAAUUUUUUUAAAUUUUAAACUAUUUUUGAAAAAUAAGAAAUUAUCUGGUUUUUUUCAUUUUGUGUAGGAGGCAUCUCUUAUUGCUGCCAUUUAGUGAUUUUUUAUGCUUAUUUUGAAUAUUGGUGUUUUUCCAUCGUUACUGAGAGAGUGAAGUCUCUUCCUCCAUACUUUAAGAUAAAGUUAUAAAUACUCUUUUCGUAGAUUUUUUGACAAAUCUAAUGAUUAUUAGAUAAUCAUUUUUUGAAUUUACCUUUCUAAUGUUAUUUUAUUUAUUUUUAAGGUAAUUUAUGUUUUAUGUUAAUUACAUACGUAGAUUUGAGCAUUAUUAAUUUAAUUUCCUUCAUAAACUUACCUUUUUGCCCAUAUACUUGAAUUUUUAGAGAACUAAAUAUUUUGCUUCAUCACAUGUCAAGAUGCUUGUAGUUAGUUUAGUGGUAAUUGAGUUUAUUUUUAAAAAUAGUUGAAGAGUCAUAUUUUCUCUACCGUAUAGUAAUUGGUUCUCAUAUGACUUUUCUACCCUACUUGAUUUGUUUUUGAGCUUUUUAGUACCUUUGAGCUUAAGGUUUUCUGAGUGUGGCUCCCGGAUUUCGGUUCACAUCUUUGUUUGAUUCUGGAGAAGGAUCGUUAACAACGGCAAGUGCUGACCAUUAAUUGCAUUCUAUCUAAGAUUAGACUUGUGUUUUUUUUCGACUUUGGGACUUUUUUGUAAUCUGGAUAGUAGGCUGGACCUCACCUUGUGACUUGGGUCUCUUUUCCAAUAUAAUGGAUGAUGUACCGGCCCGCUAGGCCAUUUUUCCACCAAUACAGCUUCUCCACCUUUUGAAAAAGUAUAUAUAUUUGAACUCCAAUCCCAUUGAACUUGUCAAUUUCGAGGCCCAUCUUGGCAACUUCUAUACUUUUUUUAUUAUUUUAUUUUUGAAAAAGAAUAACCAUAUGCCCUAAUUUUUUAUUUUUUAUUUUAAAAAAACUCUAUGUCCUUUCUACUGCAUUAUUAUUAUUAUUAUUAUUAUUAUUAUUAUUAUUAUUAUUAUGAAAUAAGGCAGAUUCUACUCUAUCAAAAAUUUUAAUAAAAAAUAUUUAGUUAAAAUAAAAUUUAGAAAAAUAAAAUAAAUUAGAUUCUAUAAGAAAUUUUAAUCAAUAAUAUUUAAUUAAAAUUAAAUUUAAAAAAUAAAAUAUUGGAAAUAACUUAUUAAAAAUUUAAAAAGUAUCUCAAAUAGCAAACGUGCUAUUUAUAAUAGAAAAAUCCUAAUACAAAAAAAAUUUAAAAGAUAAUAAAAAUGCAAAAUUGAUCCCUAAACGAUAGAUUUUUUAUCUCGAAUUUUAUAAUAAGUCUGCUACUCUAGUCACAUUUUUAAAAGUCAUACGUCUCAAAAUUUUCUUUUCAAAAAGCUAUCAUGGGCCGAUGUCCCAGCAGAAGUUAAGUCCGAUUCAAAUCUACCAUAAAAUCUAAGACUAAUUGCUUCGUAUCAUUCUCUUCCACUUGUAAAAAACUCGACCUCGAGUUGUAAUCAGUAGGAUAAUACUGAAAUAGAUCUGUCACGUUAAACGUUUUGAAAAUUUUGAUAUAAUCUGAGAGGUCAAGAAUAUAGGUAUUGUCAUUAAUCUUUUGCAUAAUUCGAAAUGGACUAAUCUUCUUUUUUUGGGCUAAACUUUUUCUGUCCUCCACCACGCUCCUUGUGCAAAUAUACCAUAACUUGAUCACCGACAUUGAAGGACUUGAAACGCCUAUAUUUAUCACCUGCAGUUUUAUACUUAUUAUUGCCUUCCAAAUGCAUUGUUGUACCUGUUUGAAAACGUCCAAAUGUUGAUUUGCCAAGUUAUUUGCUGCAAUACUGUUAUGAAAACCUGUAGAAAGGACAAAAAGAUUAACUGUAUGGGCAGAAAUUUUCCUGUACAUAAUUGCAUAGAGUGACACCUUUAUAGAGCUGUAGAUAGAACUGUUGUAAGCAAAUUUUGCUUGCGCAAUAAAAAGAUCCCAAGCAGUUUUCUUAUCGCUGUAGAUACAACGCAUAAGAUUGCCAAGAGUGCGGUUCACCACUUCAGUUUGGCCAUCAGUUUAGGGAUUGGCAGCACUAUUGUAUCGAAGUUUAAUUUCAAAACGCUUUCAUAAAGUCACCCAAAAGUGAGCUAUAAAUUUCACAUCUCUGUCAGAAAUAAUGGUCUUAGGAAUGUCAUAAUGUCAUAUAGACAAACAACCUCCUGGAAAAACAGUUUUGUAAUAUGAGAAGUAUCAUUAGUUUUUUUUGUAAGGAAUGAAAUGUGCCAUUUUGGAGAACCUGUCAACAACAACAAAAAUGGAAUCAGAUCCAUGUUGAAUAUAUGGAAGACCAAGAACAAGAUCCAUAGAAAAUUCCUCCUAAGGAUAUUCUGAAAUAGGCAAUAAAGUGUCUAAGCCCGUAUUCUGCGAAUGACCCUUCUGAGUUUGAGAAACUGGGCACUUCUAAAUCAUCUGACCUGUAUCCUUUUUUAAUUAUGGUCAAUAAAAAUGCUCCUUUGAACCAGCAAUAGUCUUAUCACAUCCCAAAUGACCAUUAAAACCUCCUCUAUGAACCUCUCGAAUUAAUUUUUCUCACAAAGAAGAGCGAGGAAUGCAUAACCUAUUCUCUUUAAAAAGAAAACCAUCAUGUAUCAAGAACCCAUCAACAGGUUGGUGAGCAUGGACCUUUGCCCAUAUAUCAGCAAAAUCAUCAUCUACGGUAUGCAAAUCUUUUAGAAAUUUAAAAUUCAUGACCUCCUGACUAACUAUAAUCAAUAGAGCAGUCCUCCUACUCAAAGCAUAUAUUACCUUAUUACUAUAGUCAGCCUUACAUUUUAUAAUAUAAUGAAAAACUCCAAAAUAAGUUGUCCAUCAAGUAUACAUCUUAUUUACAUGUUUUUGAGUGUUAAAAUGAAUCAAAGAUUGAUGAUCCAUGUGAAUAAUAAACUCCCACCCCAUCAGAUACUGUUCUCAAGUUUUAAAGUCUCGGAAUACUACAUAUAAUUCCUGCUCAUAAGUAAACCACUUCUUGGCAUCAUUCAAUUUCUUACUAAAGAAGGCAAUAGGCCUAUUAGACUGCGAUAACACACCGUCAAUCCCAACUCUACAAGCACUACAUUCAACCUCAAACAGUUUAUCAAAAUCGGGUAGAGCAAGAAUAGGGGUAGAAGUAAGCUUAUCUUUAAUCUCUUCAGAGCUCUGAUUGGCAGUGUCAGUCCAAGGAAAUUUCUGCACCCUCUCUUUCUUCAAACAAUAUGUGAUAAGGACAAUGAUGCUGCUGAAAUUUUUUAUAAACCGCCAAUAGAAAGUAGCAAAUCCAUGAAAGUUGUAAACUUCUAAAAUAGUUUUGGGAAUGGACCAGUUCCGUAUUAAUUCUACCUUAUUCUCAUUAACAUGUAUCACUUCUACACUAAUAACAAAUCCAAGAAACAGAUGUGCUCCGUCAUAUAGAUGCAUUUUUUUAAAUUAAUAACCAGCUUACUUUCUUGCAAGGCUAUUAUGACUUGACGGGGGUACUGUAAAUAUUCUUCUUUGUUGCGACUAACAAUCAAGAUGUCAUCAAAAUAAACAACCACAAAUUUGCGCAAGAAAUGACACAAAAUCUUGUUCAUAAGUCGCACGAAUGUGCUAUGUGCAUUCGUCAAACCAAACGGCAUAAUCAGCCACUCGUACAAGCCUUCUUUAGUUUUGAAGGUUGUCUUCCAUUCGUCUCCUUCUUUAAUCUGAACUUGUUGGUAAUCACUUUUAAUGUCUAUCUUAGAGAAAACUUUAGACCCUGAUAACUUAUCCAACAUGUCAUCCAGCCGAGGAAUAGAAAAUCGAUAUUGAACCGUAAUUUUACUGAUGGCUCUGCUAUCCACGCACAUUCUUCAAAUUUCAUCUUUUUUUAUAACUAAUAAGACAGGGACUCCACACGGGCUAAUACUCUCCUAAAUAUGCCCCUUCUUCAAUAGCUCUUCAACCUGUUCCUGGAGGAUUUUACUUUCCUUUAGACUCAUCUUGUAAUGAGGCAGAUUCAGUAAUUUUGAUCUAGGAAUGAGAUCAAUCCGAUAUUGAAUGUCCCGCAAAGCUGGAAGUUUUAAGGUUUCCUCCACUACCUUAGAAAACUCCUUCAACAGCUCUUUGACGGAUGGUGGUAAAGAUGGUAUAUCUUCCACUUCACCUUUUGCUCUCACCAAUAAAGCUAGUGUACCUUUAGAUUUCUCAACUGCGCCUGAUAGCCUUUACACCCCGUAGAAAUAACAACAGCAGUUUUCCCUUUCACUUUAGAAUAUUUCACAGAACCAAAAGGCAACAUGAUAAUCUUCUUCCAAUUCUAUUUAAACAUGUAUGAAUUCACUUUCCCCUUAUGCAAUGCAUCAACAUCAAACUGUCAAGAUCGACCUAACAAAAUUUCACAGCAAUCCACAUGCACAAUAUCGCAAUUAACAAAUUCAUUAUAAGAUUUACCGAUCAAAAUAGGCACGUUGCAAAAUAUGUUGACUUUAAUUGUCGAACCUUCUUUAAUUCACCCAAUUUUGUAUGGCGAAGAGUGAGGUUGUGUAGGCAACUGCAGCUUCUCCACCAAUUGCUUAGCUAUCAUAUUCUCACAACUGUAACUAUUGAUAAUUAGCCUGCAAAUCGCUUCUGCUACUUGACACUUCUCCUGAAAAAUCUUCCUCCUUUGCGUCUCAUCCUCCUGUUUCAUCGAGUAUAAAAUUUUCUUCACCACAUAAGUGACCUCUCUAUCUUCAGAACCAGCGAUAGAUCCAUUGUCGUCAUUCACUUCCUCCUCAGAUUCAACUACUUGCUCAACCACAUUAACCUGUCGGCGAUCAUUAUUAACUCCUCUGCGUUCUGGAUAAUUAUUGUAAUACCCGGCUAGACUCCGACAUCAGAAUUCCUACCGUCCGGUAGAAUUUCGGAUGUCGGAAACCUCUAGAAGGGCAAAAUCAUGUUUUCAUAAAAUGUUUUCAUGUAUUAUAUGGUUUUAAGUAAGAAAGAAACUGAGUUUUGAAUGAAAAAGACCAUGGAGGCAUUUCUAGGUUCGGCCGCCGAACAUGGGAUAGUUUAGGGGGGGCAAGUUAGGCUUCCGAAAGUGGCCCAGGUUCGGCCGCCGAACUUGCAUGAGUUUUGGAGGCACUUUAGCCUUCCGAAGGUGGUCUGGCCAGCCCCUAUAAAAGGGCUCUAUGACCGAAACAGGCGAGCUUUCUCCUCUAUUUUCGGCCAACGGUGAGUCCAUGCUCUCCCAUGGUUGAUUUUUGAUGAUUUUCCCUCAACCUUUCAAGUUUUAACGAGUUCUAACUUGGUUUUGAAGAGUUUUGGAGCUAAGAUCAAGUUUUGGAGCUUGGAGACCCAAGGAGCUAGAUUUCUCCCAUCUUCAAGUU
Molecule: long non-coding RNA, 25276 nt
Filed under: Manihot esculenta (cassava)
Lineage: Eukaryota; Viridiplantae; Streptophyta; Magnoliopsida; Malpighiales; Euphorbiaceae
Description: long non-coding RNA (MESC_LNC006893)
Source: RNAcentral